UUUCCUACGGGGGGCAGCAGUGAGGAAUAUUGGUCAAUGGGCGCGAGCCUGAACCAGCCAAGUAGCGUGAAGGAUGACUGCCCUACGGGUUGUAAACUUCUUUUAUAAAGGAAUAAAGUGAGGCACGUGUGCCUUUUUGUAUGUACUUUAUGAAUAAGCAUCGGCUAACUCCGUGCCAGCAGCCGCGGUAAUACGGAGGAUGCGAGCGUUAUCCGGAUUUAUUGGGUUUAAAGGAUGCGUAGGCGGAUUUUUAAGUCAGCGGUAAAAUGUCCGGGCUCAACCCGGGCCGGCCGUUGAAACUGGGG
RNAcentral lists this ribosomal RNA (305 nucleotides) under uncultured bacterium. RNAcentral describes it as "bacterial SSU rRNA". It matches the Rfam family "Bacterial small subunit ribosomal RNA", at positions 335 to 638 of the family's 1533-position model. The record is from RNAcentral.